Molecule: ribosomal RNA, 588 nt
Filed under: uncultured bacterium
Lineage: Bacteria
Description: bacterial SSU rRNA
Rfam family: Bacterial small subunit ribosomal RNA
Source: RNAcentral
UCCUACGGGAGGCAGCAGUGGGGAAUAUUGCACAAUGGGCGCAAGCCUGAUGCAGCCAUGCCGCGUGUGUGAAGAAGGCCUUCGGGUUGUAAAGCACUUUCAGUCGUGAGGAAGGUAGUGUAGUUAACACCUGCAUUAUUUGACGUUACCUACAGAAGAAGCACCGGCUAACUCCGUGCCAGCAGCCGCGGUAAUACGGAGGGUGCGAGCGUUAAUCGGAAUUACUGGGCGUAAAGCGCAUGCAGGCGGCCUGUUAAGUCAGAUGUGAAAGCCCGGGGCUUAACCUCGGAAUUGCAUUUGAAACUGGCAGGCUAGAGUCUUGUAGAGGGGGGUAGAAUUUCAGGUGUAGCGGUGAAAUGCGUAGAGAUCUGAAGGAAUACCAGUGGCGAAGGCGGCCCCCUGGACAAAGACUGACGCUCAGAUGCGAAAGCGUGGGGAGCAAACAGGAUUAGAUACCCUGGUAGUCCACGCCGUAAACGAUGUCUACUUGGAGGUUGUGGCCUUGAGCCGUGGCUUUCGGAGCUAACGCGUUAAGUAGACCGCCUGGGGAGUACGGUCGCAAGAUUAAAACUCAAAUGAAUUGACGGA